UUAAGUUAUUAAGGGCGCACGGUGGAUGCCUUGGCACUAGAAGCCGAUGAAGGACGUUACUAACGACGAUAUGCUUUGGGGAGCUGUAAGUAAGCUUUGAUCCAGAGAUUUCCGAAUGGGGAAACCCAGCAUGAGUUAUGUCAUGUUAUCGAUAUGUGAAUACAUAGCAUAUUAGAAGGCACACCCGGAGAACUGAAACAUCUUAGUACCCGGAGGAAGAGAAAGAAAAUUCGAUUCCCUUAGUAGCGGCGAGCGAAACGGGAAGAGCCCAAACCAACAAGCUUGCUUGUUGGGGUUGUAGGACACUCUAUACGGAGUUACAAAGGACGACAUUAGACGAAUCAUCUGGAAAGAUGAAUCAAAGAAGGUAAUAAUCCUGUAGUCGAAAAUGUUGUCUCUCUUGAGUGGAUCCUGAGUACGACGGAGCACGUGAAAUUCCGUCGGAAUCUGGGAGGACCAUCUCCUAAGGCUAAAUACUCUCUAGUGACCGAUAGUGAACCAGUACCGUGAGGGAAAGGUGAAAAGCACCCCGGAAGGGGAGUGAAAUAGAACCUGAAACCGUGUGCUUACAAGUAGUCAGAGCCCGUUAAUGGGUGAUGGCGUGCCUUUUGUAGAAUGAACCGGCGAGUUACGAUUUGAUGCAAGGUUAAGCAGUAAAUGUGGAGCCGUAGCGAAAGCGAGUCUGAAUAGGGCGUUUAGUAUUUGGUCGUAGACCCGAAACCAGGUGAUCUACCCUUGGUCAGGUUGAAGUUCAGGUAACACUGAAUGGAGGACCGAACCGACUUACGUUGAAAAGUGAGCGGAUGAACUGAGGGUAGCGGAGAAAUUCCAAUCGAACCUGGAGAUAGCUGGUUCUCUCCGAAAUAGCUUUAGGGCUAGCCUCAAGUGAUGAUUAUUGGAGGUAGAGCACUGUUUGGACGAGGGGCCCCUCUCGGGUUACCGAAUUCAGACAAACUCCGAAUGCCAAUUAAUUUAACUUGGGAGUCAGAACAUGGGUGAUAAGGUCCGUGUUCGAAAGGGAAACAGCCCAGACCACCAGCUAAGGUCCCAAAAUAUAUGUUAAGUGGAAAAGGAUGUGGCGUUGCCCAGACAACUAGGAUGUUGGCUUAGAAGCAGCCAUCAUUUAAAGAGUGCGUAAUAGCUCACUAGUCGAGUGACACUGCGCCGAAAAUGUACCGGGGCUAAACAUAUUACCGAAGCUGUGGAUUGUCCUUUGGACAAUGGUAGGAGAGCGUUCUAAGGGCGUUGAAGCAUGAUCGUAAGGACAUGUGGAGCGCUUAGAAGUGAGAAUGCCGGUGUGAGUAGCGAAAGACGGGUGAGAAUCCCGUCCACCGAUUGACUAAGGUUUCCAGAGGAAGGCUCGUCCGCUCUGGGUUAGUCGGGUCCUAAGCUGAGGCCGACAGGCGUAGGCGAUGGAUAACAGGUUGAUAUUCCUGUACCACCUAUAAUCGUUUUAAUCGAUGGGGGGGACGCAGUAGGAUAGGCGAAGCGUGCGAUUGGAUUGCACGUCUAAGCAGUAAGGCUGAGUAUUAGGCAAAUCCGGUACUCGUUAAGGCUGAGCUGUGAUGGGGAGAAGACAUUGAGUCUUCGAGUCGUUGAUUUCACACUGCCGAGAAAAGCCUCUAGAUAGAAAAUAGGUGCCCGUACCGCAAACCGACACAGGUAGUCAAGAUGAGAAUUCUAAGGUGAGCGAGCGAACUCUCGUUAAGGAACUCGGCAAAAUGACCCCGUAACUUCGGGAGAAGGGGUGCUCUUUAGGGUUAACGCCCAGAAGAGCCGCAGUGAAUAGGCCCAAGCGACUGUUUAUCAAAAACACAGGUCUCUGCUAAACCGUAAGGUGAUGUAUAGGGGCUGACGCCUGCCCGGUGCUGGAAGGUUAAGAGGAGUGGUUAGCUUCUGCGAAGCUACGAAUCGAAGCCCCAGUAAACGGCGGCCGUAACUAUAACGGUCCUAAGGUAGCGAAAUUCCUUGUCGGGUAAGUUCCGACCCGCACGAAAGGCGUAACGAUUUGGGCACUGUCUCAACGAGAGACUCGGUGAAAUCAUAGUACCUGUGAAGAUGCAGGUUACCCGCGACAGGACGGAAAGACCCCGUGGAGCUUUACUGUAGCCUGAUAUUGAAAUUCGGCACAGCUUGUACAGGAUAGGUAGGAGCCUUUGAAACGUGAGCGCUAGCUUACGUGGAGGCGCUGGUGGGAUACUACCCUAGCUGUGUUGGCUUUCUAACCCACACCACUUAUCGUGGUGGGAGACAGUGUCAGGCGGGCAGUUUGACUGGGGCGGUCGCCUCCUAAAAGGUAACGGAGGCGCUCAAAGGUUCCCUCAGAAUGGUUGGAAAUCAUUCAUAGAGUGUAAAGGCAUAAGGGAGCUUGACUGCGAGACCUACAAGUCGAGCAGGGUCGAAAGACGGACUUAGUGAUCCGGUGGUUCCGCAUGGAAGGGCCAUCGCUCAACGGAUAAAAGCUACCCCGGGGAUAACAGGCUUAUCUCCCCCAAGAGUUCACAUCGACGGGGAGGUUUGGCACCUCGAUGUCGGCUCAUCGCAUCCUGGGGCUGUAGUCGGUCCCAAGGGUUGGGCUGUUCGCCCAUUAAAGCGGUACGCGAGCUGGGUUCAGAACGUCGUGAGACAGUUCGGUCCCUAUCCGUCGUGGGCGUAGGAAAUUUGAGAGGAGCUGUCCUUAGUACGAGAGGACCGGGAUGGACAUACCUCUGGUGUACCAGUUGUCGUGCCAACGGCAUAGCUGGGUAGCUAUGUGUGGACGGGAUAAGUGCUGAAAGCAUCUAAGCAUGAAGCCCCCCUCAAGAUGAGAUUUCCCAACUUCGGUUAUAAGAUCCCUCAAAGAUGAUGAGGUUAAUAGGUUCGAGGUGGAAGCAUGGUGACAUGUGGAGCUGACGAAUACUAAUCGAUCGAAGACUUAAUCAA
This 2922-nucleotide ribosomal RNA is filed under the name Staphylococcus aureus. Its description in RNAcentral is "23S ribosomal RNA". It matches the Rfam family "Bacterial large subunit ribosomal RNA". Lineage: Bacteria; Bacillati; Bacillota; Bacilli; Caryophanales; Staphylococcaceae. The record is from RNAcentral.